UAAGACGUAGGUGGCAAGCGUUAUCCGGAUUUACUGGGCGUAAAGAGGGUGCAGGUGGCCCUUCAAGUCGGAUGUAAAAUCUCUCGGCUUAACUGGGAGGGAGCAUUCGAUACUGUUAGGCUAGAGGACAGCAGAGGGAGGUGGAAUUCCCGGUGGAGUGGUGAAAUGCGUAGAUAUCGAGAGGAACACUAGUGGCGAAGGCGGCCUCCUGGGCUGUUACUGACACUGAGGCCCGAAAGCGUGGGGAGCAAACAGGAUUAGAUACCCUGGUAGUCUGCGCUGUAAACGAUGGACACUAGGUAUAGGGAGUAUCGACCCUCUCUGUGCCGAAGCUAACGCGUUAAGUGUCCUGCCUGGGGAGUACGGCCGCAAGGCUA
RNAcentral lists this ribosomal RNA (377 nucleotides) under uncultured bacterium. RNAcentral's name for it is "bacterial SSU rRNA". It matches the Rfam family "Bacterial small subunit ribosomal RNA", at positions 521 to 896 of the family's 1533-position model. The record is from RNAcentral.